Non-coding RNA from Vicia faba (fava bean), 297 nucleotides. Lineage: Eukaryota; Viridiplantae; Streptophyta; Magnoliopsida; Fabales; Fabaceae. The record is from the annotation of a GenBank genome assembly.
AUGCCUGUGUUCUAUCGUCCUGACAAACGGAAGGUCAUGCCUCAAUAUCAAAUCGAUGCUGGAAACAAAAUAAUGCAAAUAUUGAUAGAUGCAGAUGUGAAUAAAGAUGGUUGUUAUACAAAGGGUGAGAUCAAGAAAGCUCUAAAAGAUUUAGGUUCCUACAUCCCUGGAUGGAGAGCAAAUCAUUGUCUCAAGAAAUUAGAUGCCAACAAUGAUGGCCAAAUUAGUGGUGAGGAAAUUGACAAUUUAGUUUAUUAUCUUCUUGAACAAGGUUUUGGAAAGAAGUCUAAGAAAUAG